GUGCAAGACAGGAAAUGUUCCUUGGAAGGUCCCCUAUCCCUGAAUGCUGACUGGUGAGAAACAGAACUGUAAAUUGGCACAGAGACUCUCGGACCCUACAGCAUGGCUUUAUUUCUUAGAAGUUGAUGGUGUGAGAAAAACGAGAAAACGUUUGCCUAGCUCUGGAACUAUAAGUUCUAGGUUCUAACACUGUUUGGAUCAGAUGAUGAGCGCCAUCUGCAGGCAGGAUGCUGAAAAUUGGAGGAAGAUACCACUGUUCAGCAUUAUUAAAGAUCAGGAAAACAAAGCAAAACAGUAAAUGCUCUUAUGUGGGUGUGACCCUCUUUAUACUUUUCAGUUCUUUGGGAUUAAGUAACAAUAUGCAAAGUCUGUCUUUCUCCAAAGCAUUUCUGAUCUUGGCAGACCUUAAGAUAGGACUUCUCCUUCUGAUCAAGUCUGACAAACUAAUGCAACCUCGGGUAUAUAGG
Molecule: long non-coding RNA, 467 nt
Filed under: Cricetulus griseus (Chinese hamster)
Lineage: Eukaryota; Metazoa; Chordata; Mammalia; Rodentia; Cricetidae
Description: lncRNA (ENSCGRG00015038658.1)
Source: RNAcentral